This 496-nucleotide ribosomal RNA is filed under the name Malassezia restricta. RNAcentral's name for it is "eukaryotic LSU rRNA". It matches the Rfam family "Eukaryotic large subunit ribosomal RNA", at positions 123 to 623 of the family's 3401-position model. The record is from RNAcentral. Lineage: Eukaryota; Fungi; Basidiomycota; Malasseziomycetes; Malasseziales; Malasseziaceae.
UGGCGUCUUCGGCGUCCGCCUUGAAAACACGAGACGUGUUUUCCGUGCGGCUCUAUGGACAAGUCCCUUGGAACAGGGCAUCGUAGAGGGUGAAAAUCCCGUACUUGCCAUGGAAGUACCGUGCUUUGUGAUACACGCUCCAAGAGUCGAGUAGUUUGGGAUUGCUGCUCAAAGUGGGUGGUAGACUCCAUCUAAAGCUAAAUAUCGGGGAGAGACCGAUAGCGAACAAGUACCGUGAGGGAAAGAUGAAAAGCACUUUGGAAAGAGAGUUAAAAGUACGUGAAAUUGUCGAAAGGGAAGCACUUGAAGUCAGCCAUGCUGCUUGAGACUCAGCCUGGCUUUUGCUUGGUGUAUUUCUCGGUAGCAAGCCAGCAUUGGUUUGUGUCGUCGGAGAAGCGCAUGGGGAAUGUGGCAUCCUCGGAUGUGUUAUAGCCCUGUGCAGGAUACGACGACGUAGACCAAGGAACGCAGUGUGCCCUCUGGGCGGGUCUUCGGA